ACAUGUCUGCCUAAAGUUUAAGAGAACAUUUUCCAAGCGCCAAAGAAAUGGAGAAUUAUUUCAGAAAUCAAGAGCAAGAAAGAAGAAGAGAGCACAUGAGAGCAUAAUGGACCCGACAAAAUAAUGAUUUCAACAACACCAUGAAUGACAUGCAUGAUCUUUUCUGCGGUGAUAACAUGUGAAGAAGACAUGUAGCAAGUGUGAAACUUCUAUAAGUUUUUUAUUUAUUUAUUUUCUAAUGUAUGCCCAACGGAGAGUAAUAG
This 263-nucleotide long non-coding RNA is filed under the name Lathyrus oleraceus (garden pea). RNAcentral's name for it is "Pisum sativum (pea) long non-coding RNA (PSAT_LNC028090)". The record is from RNAcentral. Lineage: Eukaryota; Viridiplantae; Streptophyta; Magnoliopsida; Fabales; Fabaceae.